Vitis riparia (riverbank grape) is the source of this 1017-nucleotide long non-coding RNA. RefSeq lists it as uncharacterized. NCBI's taxonomy places the organism in Eukaryota, Viridiplantae, Streptophyta, Magnoliopsida, Vitales, Vitaceae. The record is from RefSeq and is a predicted model, not a curated record. The transcript has 2 exons.
UGGCGUGGAAGCUACUGCCAGGAAGAGACAGCAAGAGAAAUGGAGAUGCAGUGGAGGGCCGUGGGUUCCCGUUCUCCAUGACGGAAAUCCGGCACUUUGAGCCUCCAAACCUGCUCCGAUCUGUAUCAAAUUUUGAGAGGGAGUUCAAUUCGUCGAGAUGAGCAUCACUGCGGAGUCGGAUUCCGAAUCCAAUGGCUGGAUUUUCGGAUUUUGGUGAGCAUUUAUUGCAAAAAAUCAUCUUCCACGGCUAAACACUAAUGCUAUCAAGAACGCUGGACCGACCAUUUGAAGAAUAGGCUUGUGAUUACAAGGUACCUUGAGCAACACCUCUACCAAGGCUUGCGAAUACAUGUUACCUGGAGCAACACCUUCUUUACGAAUGAGCGGGACCUUCCCACGGACGAUGAGACCAGUGCUUACUCUCAUUAUUCCUAAUUUCAAAGGCAUGUAAUUGGGAUUCUCAUUAUCGCUAAUUUCAAAGAUAUGUACUGAUCGAGGACUCUCAUUUAUCCUUAAUUUGGCGAUUUCUUUAGCUGGUCAUGUGUUCAGGAAUUGAACUAAUUGCAUUUGGAUCAAUGUAGGGAAUCAAAGAAGCAAACUCGGCCAUCAAUGCCUCAAGGUCAUCUCCCCGAACGGAGUGAUCACUAGUCUCAUCAUCUAUGAGAAGGUGUCGCUCAAGGUAGAGAAGGUGUCACUUAAUGUCACUUGUAGUCACAGGCCUCUUCUUCAAGUGGUUGUUCCAGCCGUUUUUAAUAACAUUAGCAGAUCGGUCAGGAAGAUGAUAUUUUGCCAUAGAUGCCCAAUUGCAGCACAACACAGGAAGUCCUACCACAGACUCAAGGUGUGUUUUGUAUUAUGUUGAGGGUUUGUAGGUUGAUUUCUGAGUAUUGAGCAAUAUUCUCAUAUGAUGAUAGUGCUAAAUCCUCUCAUCAUCCACUGCAUCAACUCCAUACUCCAAUUUUCUUACUUUUAACUCUUUUGAUCUAACCUUUAAUCACAUAAUUCAACUUUAGAGUG